This 544-nucleotide unclassified non-coding RNA is filed under the name Hevea brasiliensis (rubber tree). The record is from RNAcentral. Lineage: Eukaryota; Viridiplantae; Streptophyta; Magnoliopsida; Malpighiales; Euphorbiaceae.
GCAUAUGAACAUACACAAGUAUAAUUAGCUGCAAAGGUUUUAUUAAGAAAUACUGGUUCUAAAGACCCAUCUUUCAAGAAUAUGACAUUACUGGAAGCCUAGUAUAAACUCAAGUGUUUUUUGAACCAUUUCAGAAUAGCAAACACAUGUUGCUGUACGUAUAACAUAGGAGAAGUGUGAAUAAAACCAUCACUUUCUGCAUACCCUGUAUCUCUUACAGACUGGAUAUAACAUUAUAGCACAUACAUUGAAAUAACUCAACUAUAAUGCAAGUUAGACUCCAUGAGAACAGUAAUAUUCCAAGAUUCCUAAUAAAAUUAUCCAACUAAUUUUGUACAAACUUAAAUGCGAGGUCCAAAUAACAGUACAGAAUUUCAGAACUGCUGAGAUUCUGUGACUUCCGUGUGCACUAGAAAUCUUUGUCCCAGAGUUAGCAUUAAGAUGUCUGAAUCUAUUCAUAUAUUUGCAAUAGAAUCUACUUUGAGUUGGAAAGGAUAUUUGAUUAGUUAGUCCAUGUCCAAAGUGAUAUUACAGUUGAUUAUAG